UAGGGAAUCUUCCGCAAUGGACGCAAGUCUGACGGAGCAACGCCGCGUGAGUGAAGAAGGAUUUCGGUUCGUAAAACUCUGUUGUUAGAGAAGAACAGCGCAUAGAGUAACUGUUAUGCGUGUGACGGUAUCUAACCAGAAAGCCACGGCUAACUACGUGCCAGCAGCCGCGGUAAUACGUAGGUGGCAAGCGUUGUCCGGAUUUAUUGGGCGUAAAGCGAGCGCAGGCGGUCAAUUAAGUCUGAUGUGAAAGCCCCCGGCUCAACCGGAGAGGGUCAUUGGAAACUGGUUGACUUGAGUGCAGAAGAAGAGAGUGGAAUUCCAUGUGUAGCGGUGAAAUGCGUAGAUAUAUGGAGGAACACCAGUGGCGAAGGCGACUCUCUGGUCUGUAACUGACGCUGAGGCUCGAAAGCGUGGGUAGCAAACAGG
Molecule: ribosomal RNA, 429 nt
Filed under: Bacteroidota bacterium
Lineage: Bacteria; Pseudomonadati; Bacteroidota
Description: Bacteroidetes bacterium partial 16S ribosomal RNA
Rfam family: Bacterial small subunit ribosomal RNA
Source: RNAcentral